UGCACAAGCAGCUGCUGGAUGGAGCAGCUGCUGGCAAAGAGUGUGUGGGGCACAUGCAGCGUGACGGGGUACUCACUUGACAGUCAGUCGUUGCAACACAAAGUGACAAGGACACCACCUGGGAAAUUUCUCCGCUCCGCUGCUCAGACUGCGGUAUGCUUUGCAGCAGAGAGCAGCAGAACGAAGGUGGUUUUAAAAAUGUACCGUGGGAAGAUACACUCAGAAGGCAGAGACGGGCACUAACCAUCCCGGCAACCCAGUUAAAUGUCAAAGAGAAUUGCUCCUACUGUGCAGAUGAAAUGCACCAAAAUGCAAACGAGCAGAAUAUGGAGCUGAGUGAUGUUGAGUGCAAGUUUCUCCGCUGCCAGAUGUGAAGAGAACAAGUGGUCUGAAAACUCUACUAUUCCGAAGUCACCACAUGACAGCUCCACGAAUUUAUUAAAACACUGGGAUCCCAAAGAGGUAUUUGCCCACAGUAUCUCCUCUCUGGGCUGAGAGAGCAUUGCUGUCCUCUCUACUUAGACAAGGGCUGCCGUGGCAAGGCGCUGCUCUCCAGAAACACGUUUUUAAAUGAAUGAAAAUUAAACCUGCACUACGUGCCAGAAGGUUUUCAAUGGGCAUAGGCACAGGCCGCUCACAGUCUAUCUACAGAGCUGCAACACUUUAACAACCCUUGAGCAAGUGAAAUGUGCAGCCUCCCUCCAAAUGCUCUCUGAGGAUGCAGUGACCUCUGGAGAUACGCCGCUUACCUUUCCCGAGGCAAAGGCUUGGGCUCUGGCCGAAUAGCUGCCAUGGAAGAGAGGGGCUGCCUGGCAGGUGAAGGGAUGGAAAAAUUCAAAUCCAAGGAGCCCGUUUUCCUGUGCAGAGGCUCCAGCCCCAUAGCUCCUUGCAUUUCGCUCUCGAUAGGGCACGAGCCUGCCCUGCCGUGGCUGGAGAGAGAGGAGAGCUCUGGUCCCACCGCCCCUUGGAGGACUCCUUCGAUGGCCGCCUGCGGGUCAUGCGUGGGAGACACGGAUGGUGGCGAGCGCGACUUCUUUUUUGUUGAUGCUCCUGCUAGAAGCUUCAGCAGCCCGCUCUUCUUCUCCUUCUGCAAAGCAACAAAAGGAGAUGUGGGCAGUGAGCAGACAUCCCUCAUCCCUUUGUUCUCCUUUUGGAAAAUCUCACUGUGCGGCAGGAAACUUCCCCAGGCUACCUCGUAUAGGGGUGGACUCAGGUAGAACCUGGGCCUUCGCUAAUAGACAUCCUACAAAAACACAUCACCAUUCAGCAGUGCUGGACUUAUUCAGCAGAGUAAGGACCUAUCAUAGACAAUCUCUAUUUUCAAAUCCACCCAAGCAGUGAUGAUGUGCCUCUUGAAAGAAAUACUGCAGUUGGUGGGACAGCAAAGGUACAAACUUCCCAUGCAGAGAAGGAGGCAACCGGACUGCUGCUCUCUGUCUUCCAGGGGACUCCUGUUCUUCAGUAAAGAAACUCCCAAAAGUAAUGCAGCAGGUGCUAUGCUGAAAAGACACCAGUGGGAAAGCAAGAGAACCGCUCAUCAUUGCUGCCUCAUUUGCUGCUUGCCAUUUUACUGCUUGAUGCAGACUUACUGCAGGGAGGGGGGAAGCACAAAACAGGGCUUUAAUACUUCUUUCCAGGCCAUGCUUCCUUCCCCAUCCUGCAUUACACUGCUGCUCCUGCCCACAUCUCCCUCCCAGAGGUAGGUCACCUCUCCUCUAGUGUUAAGGUGCAAGCGUUGCCUUAUGGUUGAAUACAGACUGCAACGUUCACACCUGGCAAUCACAAUGUCAGUGCAUGUGUAGUUUCAAAGUUCUGCUGUGGUUUCUGAUGCAGAGUAAAGCAAACAAAAUAAAAGCACUCUUUCAAUUAAUGUGGAAAUAAAGGUCAGCCUCUU
Molecule: long non-coding RNA, 1894 nt
Filed under: Gallus gallus (chicken)
Lineage: Eukaryota; Metazoa; Chordata; Aves; Galliformes; Phasianidae
Source: RNAcentral